RNAcentral lists this long non-coding RNA (893 nucleotides) under Equus caballus (horse). Its description in RNAcentral is "lncRNA (ENSECAG00000049735.1)". Lineage: Eukaryota; Metazoa; Chordata; Mammalia; Perissodactyla; Equidae. The record is from RNAcentral.
GCUCGCCGCUCCAGUCGGUUUCGCGGGAGGCUGUGUAGACGGCGAUGGGAGCGGUUCGGAGCCCGCGGGCCACAAAGCGGUGCAGCUGCGGGAAUCAACCCAGAUGCAUUUAGGGUCAGGUGCAACCGGGGGAUCAUUCAGAUACAGAAAAUCCUUGGAGUUUCGCCGGCAUCUCAGGAUGGAGUAACUGCCCCCACCCUCCCCCCUUCCUCAACCAGGAACCUCUUGCGAAGUGGGGAUCCAUCCAAUGGGCUAGUGUUAUAUCCUGGAAAUUAUCUAAUGGAGAUGAAAGUCAAUCCGUGGGUCUCACUGCCUAUAAGGAAGAACACCAGGCUUGGUGACUUUUCAUCGUUCCCAUUACUUACGACCUACGCAACUCGCUGGAGCUCCCACGUUUUCAGGAGGGAUGAUUUGCUCAUGCAUUGCCGAUAACCUCCCCUCCCUCGUUCUGAGUUCUGGUGGUUCCAGUGGGCCUGACCCGAAUCUCUGCUUCACAAGUUGGUAUGUGGCCCAGCCUGGCCGAAUUGAGGCCAACGAGAGUCAGGCCAGGGCUUUUUCCGGACCUGCUGUGAGAGAGAGACUCUCUUUCCAUCUAGGUUGCCAAGUUGGUAAAAGGUAAGCCUGAAGCUCCUGGUGGCCAUCUUAUUCCAUGUGCUCAGCAAUAAAGCCAAGAAAGAAAACCAGAUGCGAGGGCUGGAGGGAAACUGAUUCCUGAUCGCAUCAUUUAGCCUCCGGAUGCAGCAAAAGUAAGACAAGCACGGGUCUCUGACUUUGAGGAGCUGAUCGAUAUGAAAAGGACAAUACGAUCUGGUAGAGUCAGGCUGCCCUGGAAACACCAAGGCUGGCUUCCUACCCAGAACUUUGGGAGCAGAGGGAAGACUUCUGGGCUGGCA